RNAcentral lists this ribosomal RNA (705 nucleotides) under uncultured Corynebacterium sp. MT7ER. RNAcentral's name for it is "bacterial SSU rRNA". It matches the Rfam family "Bacterial small subunit ribosomal RNA", at positions 28 to 744 of the family's 1533-position model. Lineage: Bacteria; Bacillati; Actinomycetota; Actinomycetes; Mycobacteriales; Corynebacteriaceae. The record is from RNAcentral.
GAUGAACGCUGGCGGCGUGCUUAACACAUGCAAGUCGAACGGAAAGGCCUCAGCUUGCUGGGGUGCUCGAGUGGCGAACGGGUGAGUAACACGUAGGUGAUCUGCCUUUCACUUCGGGAUAAGCUUGGGAAACUGGGUCUAAUACCGGAUAUUCACGGCACCGAGGUUGGUGUGGUGGAAAGCUUUUGCAGUGGGAGAUGAGCUUGCGGCCUAUCAGCUUGUUGGUGGGGUAAUGGCCUACCAAGGCGGCGACGGGUAGCCGGCCUGAGAGGGUGUGCGGCCACAUUGGGACUGAGAUACGGCCCAGACUCCUACGGGAGGCAGCAGUGGGGAAUUUUGCACAAUGGGCGGAAGCCUGAUGCAGCGACGCCGUGUGGGGGAUGAAGGCCUUCGGGUUGUAAACUCCUUUCGUCAGGGACGAAGUUUGUUUGACGGUACCUGGAUAAGAAGCACCGGCUAACUACGUGCCAGCAGCCGCGGUAAUACGUAGGGUGCGAGCGUUGUCCGGAUUUACUGGGCGUAAAGGGCUCGUAGGUGGUGUGUUGCGUCGUCUGUGUAAUCCAGGGGCUUAACUUUUGGUUGGCAGGCGAUACGGGCAUUGCUUGAGUGCUGUAGGGGAGACUGGAAUUCCUGGUGUAACGGUGAAAUGCGCAGAUAUCAGGAGGAACACCGAUGGCGAAGGCAGGUCUCUGGGCAUUUACUGAC